CCAAAGGCUCUUUUAAGAGCCACCCACUUUUUCAACAAAAGAGCUU
This is a non-coding RNA of Taeniopygia guttata (zebra finch), 46 nucleotides long. Lineage: Eukaryota; Metazoa; Chordata; Aves; Passeriformes; Estrildidae. The record is from Rfam.